AUUGAACGCUGGCGGCAUGCCUUACACAUGCAAGUCGAACGGUAACAGGUCUUCGGAUGCUGACGAGUGGCGCACGGGUGAGUAAUACAUCGGAACGUGCCCGAUCGUGGGGGAUAACGAAGCGAAAGCUUUGCUAAUACCGCAUAAGAUCUACGGAUGAAAGCAGGGGACCGCAAGGCCUUGCGCGAACGGAGCGGCCGAUGGCAGAUUAGGUAGUUGGUGGGAUAAAAGCUUACCAAGCCGACGAUCUGUAGCUGGUCUGAGAGGACGACCAGCCACACUGGGACUGAGACACGGCCCAGACUCCUACGAGAGGCAGCAGUGUGGAAUUUUGGGCAAGGGGCGAGGGCCUGAUCCAGCCAUGCCGCGUGCAGGAUGAAGGCCUUGGGGUUGUGAACUGCUUUUGUACGGAACGAAAAGACUCUGGUUAAUACCUGGGGUUCAUGACGGUACCGUAAGAAUAAGCACCGGCUAACUACGUG
This 482-nucleotide ribosomal RNA is filed under the name uncultured bacterium. Its description in RNAcentral is "partial 16S ribosomal RNA". It matches the Rfam family "Bacterial small subunit ribosomal RNA", at positions 30 to 507 of the family's 1533-position model. The record is from RNAcentral.